GAACUUCCCGGCGCGACUCUCCCGUCCUUCCCGCCUUCCCCGACUCCCACCUCUGGCCUGGAGCCGAAGAACAGGCUGAGCUGUGUAGUGGGAUUGUGCCCUGUGGCCAGGCAGCUGGGAGGGGGCCACCCGAGGGACAGGAAAUAGCUGGGUUUGGGGAAGUCCGCAUGGCUAGCCAAGCCAAGCGAGCCCACGAUCGCCUGGGCAGCCCUCACUGAGGCCCUAUCAAUGCCCCGUUUGAGGCUCACACAGGGGUCCUUUGACGGGGCUGCGAUGGUUUGGACCCACUGACAGCGCCUGUUUGAGCUUCAUGCCUGGAAAGGAGCCGGCCCCAGGACAGAGGGGGCUGCUUCCAGGCCUGGGCAGGCUCUGAGCCCUCUUGGGAGGGCCCUGGCAGAAGCAGGAGGCCUCAGAGGCAGCAGGGAGCUUUUGGAUGUUGCGGACCCUCGGAUGGUGGUGCCCAGCUCUGAGCAGAGGAUGCGAAACGGGGGAUGGCAAAGGAUGCAUCGCGUUUUGGUGGGGCUAGAUUUGCGCUUCCUUGGGGGACAUAUAAUGGGAGGUGCUCAGGAAGCAGCUGGGUCUCUAGGUCUGGAGUUUAGGAGAGCGAGGAGGGAGGCAGGUUGAGAUGUGAGUGCUAUCUUUGGACAUGUGGGUGGGAUAUCAGGUUGGGCUGGUAUCACCCAGGUGUUAACCCAUCAGAAGGAUGUGCUGCUGCUCCGUGGCCUCCCCAGACAGGCCGGCAGAUGAAAGCACACGCCUCCUCACCCUGGAUUCCAGUUUGGCUGACCAUGCGUGGGGCCUGAGACCAAGAUAGCACAUGGGAGGUGUCAUGAACCACAUGUGACACCUCAGAUCAUGGGGUCUGUGGCCCGAAUGGGGCCUGGGCAGGAGGAGCAGCCCAGCUGCACUGCAGGCUCCUGGAUGGGGCGAUGAGCAUGGCCACUUUGCAGGUGAGGAAUCUGCCCUGUGACUGUGGGCCCCUCCACAUCUCUGCCUGACUUUUGGGAAGACCAGAGAUUCAUGUCCAAUCCGGUACUCUGGCAGUGUCUCCAAUUUGCAAUGAAACCGUUUAAGUGUCAAGAAAAGCAGUCAGGUUAAAGGAAGUCAGGGGCAGGACCCACCCUCGGGUUCUCCUUGGGUCUUUGGGUGGCAGCAGGGCCUCUGCGGAGGGUAUAAGCAGCAGCCACUGUGUGUCUCUGCAGCCACAGGCCUUGCCCGCUGCCCUCCCGGAUGGGCUCUCUGGGAACCAGUGCUCACAUUCCAGUCUGUCUCCCGGGUCCCAGGAAGAAGUCUCCCUAAUUAGCCACCAAGAGCACGCCGAUGGUCAGUGGGCAUAGCAGAGAGCUGCUGGCACGAGGGAGCCACAGUUCUAAAUAAAUAAACAACAUCCACCUGGGAAACAAUUUUGCUGCCAUCUCAGUGGCCCAGAUAGUCGAACAGAACACUCGCCUGCUGCUUCCUCUGCUCUAUGUGCUGGGAGGACAUGCGAGGCUGGAAAACAGCUGGGCCAAGGCCUGGAGAUGUGACCGGGUAUCCUGAGAAAAGGACUUGGGUGCAGGUAGCUUAUUUGGGAGGUGAUCCCAGGAAAUACAGUGAGGGGAAGUGAGGUGGGGACAGGAUAAAAGCCAAUACAAUGUGCAUGAAUAAGCUGGUCACCUCUGUGGGCAACCGCGGCUCACUCCUGCUGGGGACCUUCUGAGGAACGGCGAGGAGCGUGUCUCAGAACUGUUCAAUGGGGGAUGGGGACGUUGGGGUCUUCUGAUCCCUGCAGGUUGCGGGUUAUACCUGGGGAUGUUAAAUCCCCAGGCUGCCUGGCCCACUGCUUGCGUCCCUGGGAACUGCCUGCAGCUGUAGUGUGAUUGAUUACAGGGGCCAUUCCCCGUGGGAAGCUCUCGCAGUCGCUCCUGGGGUGAGGGCUGACCCUCUGGCCCCGAGAAGGCACGUAGCAGGGGUGGACCUUGUAUUUUUAACAACCAGGUGAGUAGCAUGGGUGGCCAGGUGUAGAUGACCUUUGAGUUUCCUUCAGAGUCUGAGCUUCAGGGUUUCACAUUUCCCUACAAAUAAAAUGGGUCACCAUGCAUUGAGUGCAAACUCUGAUAGGGAGCUAGUGAGAGGGCUGGAGUCUAUCUGGGAGGCUCUGAAAACAGGAGAGUGACUCAUUCAGUGCUAGAGAAGAGAGGGAGAUGGUGGGAGGGGAGGAGAGGGGGAGAAAGGGAAAGACUAGAGAAGAGAGGGAGAGGGAGGGAGGGAAGGAGAGGGAGAGAAAGAGAAAGACUGACAAUGGCCUGGAAGGUGGAAGGAAGCUGACAGUGAAGAGCUUUAAAUGCCAGCCAAGUCUGAAUUUCCAUCUAGAGGUGAUCCAGUGCUAACAAAGGCUUUCCCCCCGGCAAUGGUGACAGAGACUGUCACUGCUAACUAAAUGCCAUAUCCUGGCCCUGGGCAUCCAGGUAGAGUCAGGUAAUGUGUACUCCUUCUCUGAGGCAGUUAAGAGAGAUGCUUGCUGUCUCUCUCUUGUCCACAUGGCCUGAGACAAGGACUUGGAAAUGGUGGAGGCAGCUUUGGAGAGGGCCUAUGUGGGGGGCACCCACCUGGCACUGGACGGUGCUAGGAGAGAGAAGCAAACCCUGUAUUAAGCCAUUGUGAUUUGGGGGGCAUGUCUGCUAUUGCAACAUAGCCUAUCCUAGCCUGACUGAUAAAAGAAGGCGUUGUAAAAAUAAUAAGCAUUGGCCUGUCACGGUAGCUCACGCCUGUAAUCUCAGCGAUUUGGGAGGCCAAUGUGGGCAGAUCACUUGAGCUCAAGAGUUCGAGACUAACCUGGGCAACACGGUGAAACCCUGUCUCUACAAAAAAAAAAAAUUCACUGGGCAUGGUGGUGAACACCUAUGGCCCCAG
This 2892-nucleotide long non-coding RNA is filed under the name Homo sapiens (human). RNAcentral describes it as "HSALNT0004158". The record is from RNAcentral. Lineage: Eukaryota; Metazoa; Chordata; Mammalia; Primates; Hominidae.